Molecule: ribosomal RNA, 460 nt
Filed under: uncultured bacterium
Lineage: Bacteria
Description: partial 16S ribosomal RNA
Rfam family: Bacterial small subunit ribosomal RNA
Source: RNAcentral
CCUACGGGAGGCAGCAGUGAGGAAUAUUGGUCAAUGGGCGGAAGCCUGAACCAGCCAAGUCGCGUGAGGGAAUAAGGCCCUACGGGUCGUAAACCUCUUUUGCCGGGGCGCAAGGGCCGGGACGCGUCCCGGCCCGGAGAGUACCCGGAGAAAAAGCAUCGGCUAACUCCGUGCCAGCCGCCGCGGGAAUCCGGAGGAUGCGAGCUUUAGACGGAUUUAUUGGGUUAAAAGGGUGCGUAGGCGGGCUUUUAAGUCAGCGGUAAAAGUUCGGGGCUCAACCCCGUCCGGCCGUUGAAACUGGGGGCGUUGAGGGGGCGAGAAGAAGGCGGAAUGCGUGGUGUAGCGGUGAAAUGCAUAGAUAUCACGCAGAACCCCGAUUGCGAAGGCAGCCUUCCGGCGCCCUACUGACGCUGAGGCACGAAAGUGCGGGGAUCGAACAGGAUUAGAUACCCGAGUAGUC